Molecule: non-coding RNA, 200 nt
Filed under: Equus asinus (donkey)
Lineage: Eukaryota; Metazoa; Chordata; Mammalia; Perissodactyla; Equidae
Also listed under: 1 other name
Description: Connexin-43 internal ribosome entry site (IRES)
Rfam family: Connexin-43 internal ribosome entry site (IRES)
About the family: This family represents the connexin-43 internal ribosome entry site (IRES) which allows cap independent translation during conditions such as heat shock and stress.
Source: Rfam by way of RNAcentral
AGCUUUUACAAGGUAUCAGCACUUUUCUUUCAUUAGGGAGAAGGAGUGAAGAAAGUACCAAAGAGCGGCAGACUUUUAAACUUUAAAUAGCCAGGUCCGAGUGCCUGGACUCGCGUUUUCAUUUUACUUCAUCCUCUAAGGAGUUCAGUCACUUGGCGAGCGUACUUCAUUUCUUUUGAGAAAAAGAGUAAGUUAAAAAA